This 466-nucleotide ribosomal RNA is filed under the name uncultured Desulfobulbus sp. RNAcentral describes it as "bacterial SSU rRNA". It matches the Rfam family "Bacterial small subunit ribosomal RNA", at positions 923 to 1382 of the family's 1533-position model. Lineage: Bacteria; Pseudomonadati; Thermodesulfobacteriota; Desulfobulbia; Desulfobulbales; Desulfobulbaceae. The record is from RNAcentral.
GCGACAAGCGGUGGAGUAUGUGGUUUAAUUCGAUGCAACGCGAAGAACCUUACCUGGUCUUGACAUCCCGGAGACCCUUAGGAAACUAGGGGGUGCUUCCAUCUGGAAGAAUCUGGAGACAGGUGCUGCAUGGCUGUCGUCAGCUCGUGUCGUGAGAUGUUGGGUUAAGUCCCGCAACGAGCGCAACCCUUGCCUUUAGUUGCCAGCAGUUCGGCUGGGCACUCUAAAGGGACUGCCGGUGUUAAACCGGAGGAAGGUGGGGAUGACGUCAAGUCCUCAUGGCCUUUAUGACCAGGGCUACACACGUACUACAAUGGCCGAUACAAAGGGCAGCGACACUGCGAGGUGAAGCCAAUCCCGUAAAAUCGGUCUCAGUCCGGAUUGGAGUCUGCAACUCGACUCCAUGAAGUUGGAAUCGCUAGUAAUCGUGGAUCAGCAUGCCACGGUGAAUACGUUCCCGGGCCUU